AAGGUGCAGACAAUGGGCUGUGGGUCCUGUUCCAACGAGAACGCCUACAAGACUGUCUUCAUCUGGUACAGAGUGAUACAUGCCACAGACACAGGAUCUUCUUUAGUUGAUGUCCUAGGGGAAGAAUCUGUAUUAUGAAAAGUGCAAAUGGCCUAGGGAUCUCAUAAGGAGCAUUUCACACCUGUAACAUAACAUGUCAGAAACCAGAGUGAAUUCAUUUCAUAAGUUAGCAAAGUGCAGAAAAAAAUCGAGUUUCUUUUACCUUAUAGUAUAUAAAAUUACAGGACAACCCAGUUCCUUUUACCAGAGAAUCUGAGCGCUUAGCUCGAUAAUGCUCUUAAUUACACUCAAUUUCUUUCAAAACCUUAACAGCUGCCAUCUCCAGAUGUCACGUCUGUGAGGUGACUUGAAAUGUAAAACUGCCCUUAAACCAACAGAUGUUCAUUGGUAAAUUUGGCCUUUGCCCCUUGAAAUGAAAAUUAGUUCUGAAUGCCUGUGCACGGCAAGCAUGUGAUACUGAUGAGCUCUCCCAGAUUCCUGCCAAUGGCAAGACUCUGAACAGGUAAAAAAAUGCUAUAGGAUUUAUUAAAAGUGUCAUUUUGGGGCAGUGUUACAGUUUAAUAGGCAUGGGAAUUAAAUACUAAUUUUCACUUUGACAAAGGCGCAACACUGGAUUCACAAAUUGACAUCUUGCAAUUUCAGGG
This 704-nucleotide long non-coding RNA is filed under the name Lepisosteus oculatus (spotted gar). Its description in RNAcentral is "lncRNA (ENSLOCG00000021368.1)". Lineage: Eukaryota; Metazoa; Chordata; Actinopteri; Semionotiformes; Lepisosteidae. The record is from RNAcentral.